Molecule: ribosomal RNA, 86 nt
Filed under: Bacillus paralicheniformis
Lineage: Bacteria; Bacillati; Bacillota; Bacilli; Caryophanales; Bacillaceae
Description: partial 16S ribosomal RNA
Rfam family: Bacterial small subunit ribosomal RNA
Source: RNAcentral
UUAUUUCAUGGAGAGUUUGAUCCUGGCUCAGGACGAACGCUGGCGGCGUGCCUAAUACAUGCAAGUCGAGCGGACAGAUGGGAGCU